RNAcentral lists this ribosomal RNA (432 nucleotides) under uncultured Glomus. RNAcentral describes it as "SSU rRNA". It matches the Rfam family "Eukaryotic small subunit ribosomal RNA", at positions 569 to 1009 of the family's 1831-position model. Lineage: Eukaryota; Fungi; Glomeromycota; Glomeromycetes; Glomerales; Glomeraceae. The record is from RNAcentral.
AGCAGCCGCGGUAAUUCCAGCUCCAAUAGCGUAUAUUAAAGUUGUUGCAGUUAAAAAGCUCGUAGUUGAAUUUCGGGAUCAAUAUGUUGGUCGUGCCUUGGUACGUACUAAUUUAUUGGUUUCUUCCUUCUGACGAACCAUGAUGUCAUUAAUUUGGUGUCUUGGGGAAUCAGGACUGUUACUUUGAAAAAUUGAGUGUUUAAAGCAGGCUCACGCUUGAAUACAUUAGCAUGGAAUAAUGAAAUAGGACGUUUGAUUCUAUUUUGUUGGUUUCUAGGAUUGACGUAAUGAUUAAUAGGGAUAGUUGGGGGCAUUAGUAUUCAAUUGUCAGAGGUGAAAUUCUUGGAUUUAUUGAAGACUAACUACUGCGAAAGCAUUUGCCAAGGAUGUUUUCAUUAAUCAAGAACGAAAGUUAGGGGAUCGAAGACGAUC